Molecule: ribosomal RNA, 1513 nt
Filed under: Vibrio sp. MY-2008-U5
Lineage: Bacteria; Pseudomonadati; Pseudomonadota; Gammaproteobacteria; Vibrionales; Vibrionaceae
Description: bacterial SSU rRNA
Rfam family: Bacterial small subunit ribosomal RNA
Source: RNAcentral
AGAGUUUGAUCAUGGCUCAGAUUGAACGCUGGCGGCAGGCCUAACACAUGCAAGUCGAGCGGAAACGAGUUAUCUGAACCUUCGGGGGACGAUAACGGCGUCGAGCGGCGGACGGGUGAGUAAUGCCUAGGAAAUUGCCCUGAUGUGGGGGAUAACCAUUGGAAACGAUGGCUAAUACCGCAUAAUGCCUACGGGCCAAAGAGGGGGACCUUCGGGCCUCUCGCGUCAGGAUAUGCCUAGGUGGGAUUAGCUAGUUGGUGAGGUAAUGGCUCACCAAGGCGACGAUCCCUAGCUGGUCUGAGAGGAUGAUCAGCCACACUGGAACUGAGACACGGUCCAGACUCCUACGGGAGGCAGCAGUGGGGAAUAUUGCACAAUGGGCGCAAGCCUGAUGCAGCCAUGCCGCGUGUGUGAAGAAGGCCUUCGGGUUGUAAAGCACUUUCAGUCGUGAGGAAGGUAGUGUAGUUAAUAGCUGCAUUAUUUGACGUUAGCGACAGAAGAAGCACCGGCUAACUCCGUGCCAGCAGCCGCGGUAAUACGGAGGGUGCGAGCGUUAAUCGGAAUUACUGGGCGUAAAGCGCAUGCAGGUGGUUUGUUAAGUCAGAUGUGAAAGCCCGGGGCUCAACCUCGGAAUAGCAUUUGAAACUGGCAGACUAGAGUACUGUAGAGGGGGGUAGAAUUUCAGGUGUAGCGGUGAAAUGCGUAGAGAUCUGAAGGAAUACCGGUGGCGAAGGCGGCCCCCUGGACAGAUACUGACACUCAGAUGCGAAAGCGUGGGGAGCAAACAGGAUUAGAUACCCUGGUAGUCCACGCCGUAAACGAUGUCUACUUGGAGGUUGUGGCCUUGAGCCGUGGCUUUCGGAGCUAACGCGUUAAGUAGACCGCCUGGGGAGUACGGUCGCAAGAUUAAAACUCAAAUGAAUUGACGGGGGCCCGCACAAGCGGUGGAGCAUGUGGUUUAAUUCGAUGCAACGCGAAGAACCUUACCUACUCUUGACAUCCAGAGAACUUUCCAGAGAUGGAUUGGUGCCUUCGGGAACUCUGAGACAGGUGCUGCAUGGCUGUCGUCAGCUCGUGUUGUGAAAUGUUGGGUUAAGUCCCGCAACGAGCGCAACCCUUAUCCUUGUUUGCCAGCGAGUAAUGUCGGGAACUCCAGGGAGACUGCCGGUGAUAAACCGGAGGAAGGUGGGGACGACGUCAAGUCAUCAUGGCCCUUACGAGUAGGGCUACACACGUGCUACAAUGGCGCAUACAGAGGGCAGCAAGCUAGCGAUAGUGAGCGAAUCCCAAAAAGUGCGUCGUAGUCCGGAUUGGAGUCUGCAACUCGACUCCAUGAAGUCGGAAUCGCUAGUAAUCGUGGAUCAGAAUGCCACGGUGAAUACGUUCCCGGGCCUUGUACACACCGCCCGUCACACCAUGGGAGUGGGCUGCAAAAGAAGUAGGUAGUUUAACCUUCGGGAGGACGCUUACCACUUUGUGGUUCAUGACUGGGGUGAAGUCGUAACAAGGUADC